Molecule: non-coding RNA, 596 nt
Organism: Pogona vitticeps (central bearded dragon)
Lineage: Eukaryota; Metazoa; Chordata; Lepidosauria; Squamata; Agamidae
Source: RefSeq, a predicted model, not a curated record
UCAGUAUGUCUCUGUGCAUGAAAGAGUGAGACAAAUCGUGUAGAUUUCGUUCAUUGCUUUCUAAACAAAGACUAUGCACACGGGAAGAUUUGUUAAGUGGGCCCGGAUGCCUCUUGGGAGCAGGAAGGAGGUGGUUGCUAAGUCUUUAAAGAGGACACACACAGUCAACUUUCUCCUCCAGGGAGCUAAAGAUCGGAGCACACAGCAGGCCACAAACAUGAUCCUCCUUCUUCUCCAGUUCAGAAAGAUUUCAGAUUCAAUAGAGAGUAAAGAAGGAUCUCUGCCGAGACCACAGAGGGCUUUCUCGGCUGCAGGUUCUGCCAGCCAAGCUUUCCUUUUUCAUUGAGGUGGCGCAAAUCUCACUGCCUGCUGGCCUUUGAGAAGUUGUUAGAAGGGCACCUGAAGUAAAAAUCCUGCCGUCUACCACAUCACUGAGAAGGACGCUACUAUCUGUUCUCACUCCACCCCAUCCCAGGCCACAGUCAUUUGCUUUUUACCUCUCUCAUGCGAAUGGAGCUUUGGGGAGAAAACACGGAACAGCAGGAAAGAUGCAUUUUCUUGAGCAUGCCUUUUAGCCCUCAGAAACCUGUCCAAAU